This is a non-coding RNA of Peromyscus maniculatus bairdii (prairie deer mouse), 6567 nucleotides long. NCBI's taxonomy places the organism in Eukaryota, Metazoa, Chordata, Mammalia, Rodentia, Cricetidae. The record is from RefSeq and is a predicted model, not a curated record.
CGUCGCCUCCCCCUCCGCCCUCUCCCGGCGCGGAAGAGAGGAGCGGGGAGUGAGGAGCCGGGGAGGCGGUGCCGUUUAUAUGGAGACUAGGCUAGGAGCCUGGGAGGAGGAGGAGGAAGAGGAGGAGGAAAGGACCACCCAGCACAUCCUCGUGGUGGUUGCCUCCGCUCCUCCAGCCCUUGGCCCAGGGCUGAUGUCAUCCGCAGCAAAUCAUUUCGCCGGCGGCCCGGAAGCUGGAGGGACGAGGUUCCUAAGUUUCCGGCCAUGGGCUGCUGCUUCCAUUUCCUUGGGCCUGAGAGUGUUGGAUGAAAAGCACCGCAGGAGGCCAAGGAGCUGACUCCGCGGGUGAAGGUGUUUACUGCCAAGCCUGGGAACCGACUCAAUUCAAUCCCCAGGACCCACACAAGGGGAGGAGAGAACAGACCACCACAAAUUGUCCUCAGACCUCCACACACAUGAAGUCAUUCAUUAAAAGAGAAAAGUGCAACCCAAGGGCUGCUUCACUAUGGUGGUCUGUACAGCGAAGUCAUGUCUACGAACCUCUUCACCCAUGCUUUGCAAACCAGAGACACAAUGGUCUUCACCCAUGCUUUGCAAACCAGAGACACGAUGGGCAAUGGGGACUGCUACUUUGUACCUCUGUGACGUCAGGCAAGUAAUUGUGGUUCUUCUUCUUCUUCUUCUUCUUCUUCUUCUUCUUCUUCUUCUUCUUCUUCUUCUUCUUCUUCUUCUUCUUCUUUUUUAAUGUUCAGUCCCUUUGUUGCAAACGUGGGAAGAAUCAGAACUUUGCAACUGUGAGGGAAGAGUGACUGAUAGAGACUUCAGGAGCUCUUAAUCCAGUGGAUGGAACACAGUAAGCAACCAAGGCAUGGUUGAAUAAAUGCCGUCCCCACACCCAUUUCCUUAGACAGCGGAGUCAACGUAGCUUUACAAAGUGUACAGGUGACUCCACCAAUACCUCUGGGAGAAAAACAAAAACCAAAACAACAACAACAACAAAAACCCAGCAUAUUCAGCCACUUCUCUAUACUAGAAAAGUCCCCACCCCGAAGAAAAACGAGGCAGUUCUAAAGAAAAAGAAAAGUAACCUCUAAGGGAGCCUGCCUGUAUCCCCAGCUAUCUGGGACCUCACCUAAGUGUCCCAAAGGCACUGCACACUGGGCAUGCUCCAGACACAAAUCAUCUCUACCCUCUAGACCUGAGCGCUCAUGUCUCCUGUUCCAUUGGACAGUAGCGCCAUCCGUCCCACUGCGUAAGCCGGAAACCUCACAGACGUCUUGGAUUCUUCCCUGAGCCUUACUUAGCUGCGUGUUCAGCCAGCCCUGCAUGGAGUCUGGUCAGUUUCACCUUCACCUUCUCGAUGCCUCCUCAACCAUCCACUUCUCUCCAUUAUCACAACCCUAGCCCUCACCGUUAUGAGAGGUACUAUAUAUAGGUUAAAAAAAGUUCUGGAGUAAAAGUUCCCCUCAUCCAGACAUGCUGGUGAUAAACCCAUGGUUUAGAGUAUCCUCUGCUACUUAUUCCCCAAGGCCAUAAUUUUUUAGCUGUGUGACCUUGGGCAAGGUGCUUAUGCACUCUGUCCUGGUCUUUUCUUGUAUGUAGUGCCAAUGGGUACCAGCUUCCUGGCAGGGUGCUAAUAGGGUUUUUGUUCAUUUGCUGCCAAGCUGGGCAUGAAACCCAGGGUUGUGCACGUGGUAGGCAGGCACUCUCACCAGUUCAGGCUCCAUCCCCACCCAAGGGGAUAAGAGUACAAGUGCUUGUAAGUGUCUUGUAUGUAUGUAGUAAGCACUCAAUAUAGGUCAAUUGAUGGUUUAUUGUUAUUUGCCAUUCAGUAUAGACAAUUCCAAACGUGUACAAAUUAGACAAGUUCAUGUAAGAUUAUAAUUAUUGGGAAUGAUGUUUUUUAAUAGUUUGCUUAUUUAAGUCAAGGUCAGAAUAAGAUCUAUAUACUUAAAUUAACCAGUUGUUUGUUUGUUUGUUUGGUUGGUUGGUUGGUUUGAGACAGGAUCUCUCUAUGUAGCCCUGGCUGUCCUAGAACUCACUAUGUAGACCAGGCUGGCCUUGAACUCACAGAGUCUGCCUGCCUCUGCCUCCAGAGUGCUAAGAUUAAAGACCUGUGCCACCACACCCUGUUCAGAGUGUUAAUCUUUACUCUGUGUGCCCUGACUCUUCUUGAUUUCCCUGUGAUGUUUUUGUUGAAACAUUUAUCACCAAGAGUUUCACAGUCUGAAUUUUGCUGGGUGCAUGAAUGUUUUGUUACUGAAUACCUCUGAAUAUCUCCUGAAAGUCUUGUGUCGUAGGGAGAUCUGAGAGCUUGAUCGGAGGGAUGGGGUAGCCUAGUGGGUGGACUGCUGCCCUACCAUGAGUGAGGCCCUGCAUUUGAUCCCUGUAAUCCUAGCUCUUGGAAGCUAGAAGGAAGAGACUGGGAAGGCCAAGGUCAUGCUCAGCUCUGCAGCAAGUCGGAGGCCAGCCUGAGCUGUAUGAGACCUUGUCUCUAAGUCAUUUAAUUAAUUAAAAGAUUGGCCAAAUCUGAGCUUUUUGCAACUAUACUUCAUAGAUGAUAAUGGUUUCAUUGUAUGAUUUUCAUUAGGUCGUUACCUAAUCCAUUAUUUAUUAAGAAUUUGAAAAUUCUAAUAUUUUAUUAUUUACUCGACAGCAAGGAGGCAUCAGUUAGGAGAAUUCUUACCUUGUCAGCUGGUUAACCUAAGAUACAUUCUGUACCAGAAAACAAAAGACAAACACAUGACUCUUUUAUUUACUAAUUUUCAACAUCCAUUCAUUCCAUACCGUUCUCCCAAAGUGACUGAUAUUUUUUCUCUCCUUAAGAUCUAACAUGGAUCUGUUAUUCAUAUUGAUGUUUUCAUUUCCCCUCCAUGGCCAGGAGUAUUCGGAAUACUUCCCAUCUGCCUUGUAUUUACCCACAGAACCAGGAUUUAUCCAUUUCUCUAAGGAACCUACAUCACUUAAGUAAAAAAUAGGAUUUAGAGCCGAUAAUCUUGCCUGAAGGUCUCUGCCGUCUUGGUCAUUGUUUCUAGAUAUUUUCAGUAAACACAAAUGAAGAAUCUUUUCUUUUUCUUUUUUCAAGAUGAAAGACGCGAUGGGUUGACAAUGUCAGUGGUCACUCAGGUCAAGGCCACAGGGGUUUGGCUUGUCCUUUGUCUUUGUCCUGCACCUGGAAUUCCUGUUCUCCAAGACAGCAAGGACAGGCUUAGUGCAGGGAGCCGCUCAUUUUCUCUGCCUUAUACUCCAGUAGCAAUACCAUAAAAAAUGCAACACUUUUGCCAACUGUAGGGUUACCUGAAAGACCAUUUCAAUGUUGUUUUUUUUUUUUUUUUUUUUUUUUUUUUUGCAAUUAUUUUCGUUCUUAGCUUGUAUCACACUAGAAAACCAAGACUCUCAGUCAUCGGGCACUGGGGAUGACGGUCCCUUUGUGCUCUCCGUCAUUAUGAACACAGCACUGUUGGGGCAGCGGCAAGAUAGCAAUAUCAACAGGAUUACCGAAAACAGCUUGCAAUUUCUUUUUGCAAUUUCUUUUUGCAAUAGCUAUCUCCCCAAGGCAUACAGUUUUAUGCAGUCUAAUUAAUUAAUUCCUUUUUAUAGGAUGAUGCCAUUAACUCAAUACAUAGAUUCAUUGGUUUCAUUUGCAGUAUUUCUGAGUUGAUUUUUAAAUUUAAUUUUGUCUUAUGAUUAUGAAUGUAUGGUUUCAAGGUCAAAUUUAUAAGACAAUUUUUGUCCAGAUGACUUCAGUCUCUACUUAUAUUCCCUCCACCAUGCUCCCUGACUUUUUCUAGAAGCACAUCCCCCUACUCGCUACCCAUUGCCUGGGCUUAUUUAGUAUUUCCUUUUAAAAAGGCAAACACAGGGCUGAGGGUGUGGCUCCUUGGCAAGCACAUACAUACUCAGCAUGCACUAGGCCCUGGGCUCCGUCUCCAGCACCAAAAAGAAACAGUAGCUACAUACGACCUAAUAAUAUAUCCCGGUGAGAACUCUAUAAUGUAUAUAUGUGUAAUCCUCAUUCGUUUUUAUUGCUGCAUAGCAGUAACCCACUGUGUUUAUAACCUACUGAUGGUGGACAUUUGAACCAUCUCUAACUUGACUUAUAUUAUAAAUAAUAGCUGCUUUUCUCCUUGCUGUGGCAAAAGCAGCUUGCAGAAAGCAGCUUCUGCAAGGCGGGGUAACAAGAGCAAGCUCAGCUGUGGUGGCAAGAGCCUGAGCUAGCCAGCCCUGUGCGUCCACCGUGAGGAAGGAGAGAAAGGGGAUUGCUCGAACUCUGUUCCGCUUCUCCGUUUUCUUUUUCCUUCAUUGUGGGACUCCCGCCAGUGAGAUGGUGCUGUCCGCGUUCAAGGCGGGUCUUUUCUGUUCAGUUAAAACUCCAUGAAAGUGCCCGUAAGGUCAUGCCAAAAACGUUGUCAAAGGGAUUCUGAAUCCUGUCAAGCUAACAGUGAAUCUUAGUCACCACAGUAGUUAUUAGCAUUGUUUUCUCCCUUUGUAACAACUGGGUCACGUGACUGGUCCCCACAUUGUUUAUUCUGACCCUCAGCCAGUUUGUGAUUCUUACCACAAGGAGAAUGAUCUUACCUGAUUGGUCAUUUUAUUCCACUCACACUUGAAGUCUCAUAUUGACUUCAGGAUAAAAACCAAACAACAACAACAACUACUACUACUAUUAUACCUUCUUCUGGUUUUAUGCUUUUUUUUUUUCUUUUCAGAGUCUCACUAUGUAGCCCUGGCUAUCCUAAAACUCCCUAUGUAGACCAGGUUAACCAGAAACUCAGAGAUCCACCUACCUCUGCCUCCCUAGUGCUGGGAUUAAAGGCCUGUGACACCAUGCCCAGCCCCAAACCAAACUUCUUAACAUGGCCCCUAGAAAAGUCUAGCCCCAGCUUGAUGUGGGAUGGCCUUCUGGAUGCUGUGAAUAUGUGUUGCUCUCAUUGGUUGAUAAAUAAAGCUGCUUUGGCCUAUGGCAAGGCAGAAUAGAGCCAGAUGGGAAAUCCAAGGGAGAGACAGGAGAAGAAGGGUGGAGUCGGGGAGACGCCAUCCAGGCUCCCAAGGAGCAACCUGCCAGCAGACUAGUAAUGCCACAGCCACGUGGCAAUAGUUAGAUUAAUAGAAAUGGGUUAAUUUAAAUGUAAGAGCUAGCUAGUAAUAAGCCUGAGCUAUUGGCCAAACAUUUAUAAUUAAUAUUAAGCCUCUGGGUGAUUAUUUUAAAAGCAGUUGCAGGACUGGGUGGGACAGAAAAGCCUCCAUUUACACCAGCUUAUUUCCUGUGGGCAGCCCCUAACCCAGCUGACGACUCUUGUUUUUCAGCCUCAGCCACAAGAGCCCAUGUUCAGCCUCUCCUUCCUCCCCUUCUUUUCCCCGGCCCUGACUAGUCCACUGUCCUAGUUAAUAUGGCCUAAUCCUACAUGUAUCACUCAGCUAUCGCUCAGCUAUGUAAGGCCUCUCAAGCUAACUAUUUAUAACUACUCAGUUGUCUUCAGUACUUAUCAUUAUCACCUAUAUAAGUGAUUUCUAAACUUUGUUUGUCUUCUCUAUUAGACUCUGUGCUCUAUAUAGUGAAGGCCAUAUCUUCAUACCUAGUGCACUCAUGUGUACACACACACACACACACACACAGCAGCUCACCUCAGUAUUCAUAGUGCCCCACAUAGGGUCUGUGUACGUUUAGUAGUUGAGGAGCCUCUCUGAUAACAAAAUGACUGUGUCUGUGAGUUGUGUUACUGUGCAAAGCAUUUUGAUUGCAUGGCCUUGAGUUAAUCUCCACCAGCCUCCUAAGCUUGGGUUUUGUUGUUGUUUUGUUUUGUGUUUUUAAGAAGGAAUAAAAAAAGCUGAAUGGAUAGGAACACGGGGGAGGAGCUGGGAAAACUUGGAAGAGGGAAAAGACUAUUCUCCAAAUGUGUUUUAUGAAAUUCUCAAAGAACAAAUAAAAACAUUCUUUAAAAUUAAAAUGAUUCUAGGGUGUCAUUUAAGGCCACUUUUAGCAGUAAGGACGUAGCCUGUGUUAAUUCAGCAUUGGUUUGCCUUGCCUUUCCAAAUUCUAAGCUAGGGCUAUAGAAAACAGCAAAGCUUGGGAAGAAACAAGGAAUUAGGGAAAUGAUUUCUAAUGGAUGAGCUAUUAGAGACAAUUUUAAUAUGUGCUGUGUCAUUGGCAGGGCCAUUUACGUUCUUUGUGCAGGGUACUUCUGCAAACUCAGCGCUUGUAACUCUCAGCUUCAGGGAAGUAGCUUAUACUCACUCCUGUUUGAUUAUGCUUGCCUUGGAAAUUGCCUCUUCUUAGGGUAAAAUACUGGGGGGGUGGGAUAUAUCACCUUAGGAGGAACUGUGAUCAAAUCCCUUCCAGCUGCAUGAGCUGGUCCCUCCCAUUACCCUUCAGCAGCCAGUGAAUGAACCAUAUCAAUCCCUCCGACUGGAGAGAGCACAAAAUGCAGGUUCUCCCACUGUGUUAGUCAGCAACUGUGUGUGUGUAUAUGUAUGUCAACAUAUAUGUGUAGUUUUAUGUACAUAGACAAGUUUAUACGCAUGUAUACACAGCUCGUCCCCCAAGUCAAUAAUAUUUUCCAUAUGGUU